GGUCUUGACAUGGUAGGAAUCUUGUAGAGAUACGAGAGUGCCUUCGGGAACCUACACACAGGUGCUGCACGGCUGUCGUCAGCUCGUGUCGUGAGAUGUUGGGUUAAGUCCCGCAACGAGCGCAACCCUUGUCCUUAGUUACCAUCAUUAAGUUGGGGACUCUAAGGAGACUGCCGGUGAUAAACCGGAGGAAGGUGGGGACGACGUCAAGUCAUCAUGGCCCUUAUGACCGGGGCUACACACGUACUACAAUGGUCGGUACAGACGGUCGCAAGCUCGCGAGAGUAAGCUAAUCCGAGAAAACCGAUCGUAGUCCGGAUCGCAGUCUGCAACUCGACUGCGUGAAGUCGGGAUCGCUAGUAAUCGCAAAUCAGAAUGUUGCGGUGAAUACGUUCCCGGGCCUU
Molecule: ribosomal RNA, 404 nt
Filed under: uncultured Thiovirga sp.
Lineage: Bacteria; Pseudomonadati; Pseudomonadota; Gammaproteobacteria; Chromatiales; Halothiobacillaceae
Description: bacterial SSU rRNA
Rfam family: Bacterial small subunit ribosomal RNA
Source: RNAcentral